GGGGCUGAUUUUGGUUUCGACUUCGGACACUGAGCCAGGGGAAGCGUGCCGGUGCAGGCUGGAGACCACCGUGAGCGUCGCAGCAACAUGAUAAGCGCCGAGAAGAACUCUCAGCGUGACUACGCCCUCGCUGCCUAAGUAGCGACCUGCGUGUCCGUCAGACCUGGUAUGUCACUGAUCAGGAUCCUGGCGUCGACUUAAGUGACUUGCUUGCCGGCCGCGUCAGCGGGACCGGCAGGGACUUCCACCGCUGACUGGGCCCAUCAUCCGGAACGUGUUCGUCCGAGCCGGAGGGUCGAGUAGAGAUCGUGUGCGGACUGCGCACGGAGAAGCCCUGGCAAGGUGCCGGAGGACCCGGGUUCAAUCCCCGGCAGCUCCACCG
Molecule: transfer-messenger RNA, 382 nt
Filed under: Corynebacterium guangdongense
Lineage: Bacteria; Bacillati; Actinomycetota; Actinomycetes; Mycobacteriales; Corynebacteriaceae
Rfam family: transfer-messenger RNA
About the family: Bacterial tmRNA, also known as 10Sa RNA or SsrA, is named for its dual tRNA and mRNA-like properties.
Source: RNAcentral